Perca fluviatilis (European perch) is the source of this 315-nucleotide long non-coding RNA. RefSeq lists it as uncharacterized. The record is from RefSeq and is a predicted model, not a curated record. The transcript is spliced from 2 exons. NCBI's taxonomy places the organism in Eukaryota, Metazoa, Chordata, Actinopteri, Perciformes, Percidae.
UGUCUCCUUCAGCUGAGGAGAAGGAAAGAAUUACAGGCAUUGUGCAGUUUAAUGUUAUGAAAAGAACAACAUGGUCAACCAUUCAACGGUUCCAUUGAUGGAUUUCAAAAAGUCUUUCUUCAUAAGGAAAGGGAAGGUUGGUGACUGGAGGAACCUUUUCACCGUGGGCGCAGGAUGAAAAGUUUGAUGCGGACUACAAGCAAAAAAUGAAGAAUCCUACACUGCAGUUUUGUACUGAAGUUUAGAGACUGUGCAUGUCCUGAACUGUGAUUCCUUUGAUAAUGGUGAUGUCAGAAGUAAAAUUUGAUUGACAAA